This 60-nucleotide small nuclear RNA is filed under the name Mesocricetus auratus (golden hamster). RNAcentral describes it as "U7 small nuclear RNA". It matches the Rfam family "U7 small nuclear RNA". From Rfam's summary of the family: Animal histone pre-mRNAs are spliced by a different mechanism than nuclear pre-mRNAs and self-splicing introns. This processing involves the U7 snRNP, which contains only one RNA species: U7. The 5' end of U7 RNA is thought to base-pair to a conserved spacer element downstream of the cleavage site in histone pre-mRNA. Lineage: Eukaryota; Metazoa; Chordata; Mammalia; Rodentia; Cricetidae. The record is from Rfam by way of RNAcentral.
CAGUGUUACAGCUCUUUUAGAACUUGUCUAGCAGGGUUUCUGACUUUUGUUGAAACCACG